UGCUCUCACUAGUGUAAGUAUCUCUGGAUAAGAGCAUCUGCUAAAUGACUAAAA
This is a non-coding RNA of Salmo salar (Atlantic salmon), 54 nucleotides long. The record is from Rfam. Lineage: Eukaryota; Metazoa; Chordata; Actinopteri; Salmoniformes; Salmonidae.